Long non-coding RNA from Linepithema humile (Argentine ant), 1122 nucleotides. RefSeq lists it as uncharacterized. The record is from RefSeq and is a predicted model, not a curated record. NCBI's taxonomy places the organism in Eukaryota, Metazoa, Arthropoda, Insecta, Hymenoptera, Formicidae.
CGUAAUAUAAGCCGAUUGCUUCUCAUCGUUCUCGUUGUUCAGAAAACGCAGACGUUCGCAGGUUUCAAAUUGAAGAAAAGGGCCUAUAAGAUCUCACAAUGCAUAUGACGGAGCCACUAUUAGUUUUCACCCUUUCGCUCUUAAUUUCUGUUUUUGUAAUAAAACAUACAUUAUACUAUAAAGAAGAUGAAACAUACAUUAAAAAUCCUUGGAACAUUACAUUGAGUGCUGAAUUGCUAGAAAGACAAGAGACUGCUGAACAUUAUAUUAAACUUCUUACCAUAAUUUCUGUAAUAAUAAUGUCUUUCAACAUAUUUGCACUCAUUACUGUAUUUAUGUACUGAGUUGGACUUUGCGAAAUUUGCAAGCGACAACAUCAGGAGGUGAGAAUUACUCUCCCUCGGCGUAAUAAUGAAGACGAUGGUAACGAGAUAUAUUAUAUAGGACUAAUAAGAAAUUUACGGAAUGAGAAUAAUAUACGGACUAAUAACGUAAGAAGAUAAUAAGUCAACAAUAAUGAAAAUAAUACUGAAUAAUUUCCUGGCUUUUUAUUAAUUUUAAAAUGCAUCAUUCGACUUAUUUGUGACACUCCUAAAUUGCAUGGAACGCUAUACUCAUUUUUCUAAAUUCUUAUGUUAAAUUCGAUCUAAACAGUGCAUUUCUUGCAAUAUAGUUUGUCGUAAAUUAUUUGUAAGACAAAAUACAUUUUAACAAUUUUGCGAUAUAAGAAAAAAGAUAAGAAAAACUGCAUGAAUCUAACAUUGAUUACUCAAUGUUAUCAAUUUAAUAUAAAAAUUAAAUUUUUAUAUUUUUAUAUUAUUAGAAUUUAAUACCAGAUUACUAGAUCAGUAUAACAAUUUUAACCACAAUGACCAUAGCUUUUAUAGGCUCCGAGAAAUAUAGUGCCAAAAUUUAUAUUUUUUUAAGUUUUUCCAAUAUGAAACAGAUACAAAGUGACAAAAUAUUAAUUUUGGGAUUAUUUUCUUAUUGCUAUAUUUUCAAAAUAUUUCACCUAGUAAUUGAUAAUAUUAAUUGUAGAAAAGAAAUUUCUUAUAGUACUGUAUUUCUUAUAGUACUGUAUAGAAGAUUGUGAGUAGCUUCCUGAUAACUUAAUUUUAAUCA